RNAcentral lists this ribosomal RNA (23 nucleotides) under Cosmospora khandalensis. RNAcentral describes it as "partial 18S ribosomal RNA". The record is from RNAcentral. Lineage: Eukaryota; Fungi; Ascomycota; Sordariomycetes; Hypocreales; Nectriaceae.
UGAACCAGCGGAGGGAUCAUUAC